RNAcentral lists this ribosomal RNA (494 nucleotides) under uncultured bacterium. RNAcentral's name for it is "partial 16S ribosomal RNA". It matches the Rfam family "Bacterial small subunit ribosomal RNA", at positions 28 to 507 of the family's 1533-position model. The record is from RNAcentral.
GACGAACGCUGGCGGCGUGCUUAACACAUGCAAGUCGAACGGUGAAGCGCCUUCCUUUUUGGUGGGUGUGGAUGAGUGGCGAACGGGUGAGUAACACGUGAGUAACCUGCCCCCUUCUUCUGGAUAACCGCAUGAAAGUGUGGCUAAUACGGGAUAUUCUGGGUCUGUCGCAUGAUGGGUCUGGGAAAGAUAUUGUUUCGGUGGGGGAUGGGCUCGCGGCCUAUCAGCUUGUUGGUGGGGUGAUGGCCUACCAAGGCGGUGACGGGUAGCCGGCCUGAGAUGGUGGACGAUCACACAAGGACUGAGACACGGCCCAUACUCCUACGGGAAGCAGCAGUGGGUAAUAGUGCACAAUGGGCGCAAGCCUGAUGCAGCGACGCCGCGUGAGGGAUGGAGGCCUUCGGGUUGUGAACCUCUUGCGCCAGUGAAGCAGACCUGCCUCGUUUGUGGGUGGGUUGACGGUAGCUGGAUAAGAAGCGCCGGCUAACUACGUG